Molecule: ribosomal RNA, 261 nt
Filed under: Campsis grandiflora (Chinese trumpet vine)
Lineage: Eukaryota; Viridiplantae; Streptophyta; Magnoliopsida; Lamiales; Bignoniaceae
Description: 4.5S ribosomal RNA
Source: RNAcentral
GAAGGUCACGGCGAGACGAGCCGUUUAUCAUUACGAUAGGUGUCAAGUGGAAGUGCAGUGAUGUAUGCAGCUGAGGCAUCCUAACAGACCGGUAGACUUGAACCUUGUUCCUACAUGACCUGAUCAAUUCGAUCAGGCACUCGCCAUCUAUUUUCAUUGUUCAAAUCUUUGACAACACGAAAAACCAUUGUUCAACUCUUUGACAACAUGAAAAAACCAAAAGCUCUGCCCUCCCUCUCUAUCCAAGGGAUGGAAGGGCAG